This 691-nucleotide long non-coding RNA is filed under the name Homo sapiens (human). RNAcentral describes it as "PREDICTED lncRNA (TCONS_00203465)". The record is from RNAcentral. Lineage: Eukaryota; Metazoa; Chordata; Mammalia; Primates; Hominidae.
GAGAAAGUCAUAAGAAUCAGGGAGCCUGCCCCAAAUUGCCUCCUAUGAUAACUUUCCACAAAGACUGGAGGGGAGGCUUCAAACAUCUUCCUGCAGUGUCCAGCAAGACAGCGAGGCAGACUCCCUUUCUCCUGCCAAAGCCACGUGGAGCCAGACAGAACCACAAGCAUACCUGUGGUGCUUGGAGGCCCAAGUAGAAACUUGAAUGCUCACGGCUGCAUUGGCAGCUUCUACUUGCCUGCCUGGAUCACCGUUCCUCAUGAGAACUUGGAAAAGCAGGACUAUCAUUCUUGCUUGACAGACGAAGAAACCAAGCCUCAGGACUGCGUGCAAUUCUACUUGGAGAUCUUCAUAACACCUUAAGGGAAAAAUCCUUUUUGAAAGAAAAACAAGUCUGGGUGGUGCUUGAAAAUUCAGAAGGCAGCUAGAAACUCUGCCAAUUACAACUAUUUACAACUUCAGGGAGACAAAGGAAACUCCAGCUCAUCUCCCACAUCAUUGAUUGAGAGGACCAUUUUCUGACUGUCUGCACACACUCAAUCCUAAGUAAAAAGAAGAAAGCCGGAGGCACCAUAUUACCUGACUUCAAACUAUACUAUAAGGCUACAGUAAUGAAAAUAGCAUGGUACUGAUAUAACACAAACACACAGAGUGAUGGAACAGAAUAGAAAACUUAGAAAUAGAACCACAC